This 416-nucleotide ribosomal RNA is filed under the name uncultured bacterium. Its description in RNAcentral is "bacterial SSU rRNA". It matches the Rfam family "Bacterial small subunit ribosomal RNA", at positions 28 to 438 of the family's 1533-position model. The record is from RNAcentral.
GAUCAACGCUGGCGGCGUGCCUAAUGCAUGCAAGUCGGACGGGCGAGUCGUUGUGAGUCGUCACGUGGCGGACGGGUGCGUAGCACGUGGGCAACCUGCCCUGGGGCGGGGGAUAGCCGGGGGAAACCGCGGGCAAUUCCGCAUACGUUCAGGGGUCGAUGAAGGACCGCUGAAAGAAAGGGACCGUACGCGGUCUCACCCCAGGAGGGGCCUGCGGCCGAUUAGCUAGUUGGGGGGUAACGCUUCCCAAGGCGAUGAUCGGUAGCUGGUCUGAGAGGACGGCCAGCCACACGGGGACUGAGACACGGCCCCGACUCCUACGGGAGGCAGCAGCAAGGAAUCUUCCGCAAUGGGCGAGAGCCUGACGGAGCAACGCCGCGUGGGGAUGAGGCGCUUCGGCGUGUAAACCCCUUUUC